Molecule: long non-coding RNA, 2456 nt
Organism: Panthera uncia (snow leopard)
Lineage: Eukaryota; Metazoa; Chordata; Mammalia; Carnivora; Felidae
Exons: 3
Source: RefSeq, a predicted model, not a curated record
UCUCGUGCGGGAUCCCUCCUCCUCUACUGAGAACGCACGUUCUGAUGUAGCACCACCCUGGAACGUUAAGCGCCCACGACAAAUAACAGAAAAGCGAAAGUUCGUGACAAAACCUCAGGGCGUCUGUCUCCUCCCCACCAAACCACCGCAGAUGACAAACUUCGAAACACAACUCAACCCUCACCAAACAGCACCAGGAGCCCUCGGCUGUGCCUGCGGCCCCGAGGUGGCACCGAGCAGCUCCCGGAGACGCGUUCCCACGGGUCACAGGGCCCAGAAUUUCUGAGGACCAUUACAGCAUCCCCCUCCCUCUCCGAACGAGGCCCGCUGCAGCUUGAUCCUCUUGCCCGGCUCGAUCUCCAGCAGGCGGGAGAAGAAGUCCACGCCGACCGUGGGGUCGCAGGCGGGCGAGCGCAGCCCCGGGAAGCGGCCCUGCGUGAAGCGGUGCAGGAGGCACGACUUGCCCACCGUCGAGUCCCCGAUCACGAUGAGGCGGAACUGGUAGAUCCAGAUGGUCUCCAUGGCUCACGUGCCCCCGCGGGCCGCCCCGCCCGCCUGCCCUCCAGCUGCCGGGCAAGUUUGGCGGCGGGAACUGUCCCUUCAGCACCGCCCGGGCGCCCGCCCGCCGGCUUCCAGCAUAUUCCUGCGACUGCAGCCGCCGCCUGGUCCCCGCCCUCUCUGGAGGGAGGGGCGGGGCCCGGCCGGCCGAGGGGCGGGGCCUCGGGCCAGGGGGCGGGGCGCGCGCGGGAAGGGGCACCGGGCUAACUGCGCGCGACUCCCGUCCCCGCCCUCGGUAAAUCUCUUUCCCUGAAAGCUCACUGGGCGCCGCCGGGAAGGUGGGUGUGGCGAGAGGACGUGACGGCAGCGGCAGCCAAUGAAAGCGAAGCAAGGGCUCCCCUCCGCGAGGGUCAGCCAAUGAAAAGUGAGAAUCGUUUUCUUACGGUCGUGGGGGCGGGUUUGUCAGAGCCAGAGUGGGCUUCUGCGAAUAGGUCACUUCUGGGGCGCCUUUCUUCCCACGAAGGCCCUGCCCCUUCCCACGCCCCUGAAGGUGCCCGCCGACGGCGUCCUGCAGUCUAGCCUUGCUCAGCGCCGCCUCCCGCGCGUGCUAAGGCGAAGGAGUUCAGAACAGAAUGGAAAAAAAUUUGCAGAGCAAGGUCUGGAUGCUUCUAGCAAGCGCUUUGGCCAUUGCUCCUGCCGCCGCCGUGUAUCUUCUUCCAGUACCACGAAGAGUGAGAAAAAGACCAGGAUGAGUAAGUGUCUUCUGUGGACCACAAGGAAUCGUGCCUGUGAGAAGCCAGCGUGGAAAUGUCCCCGUGUCCCCUGCUGCAGGUGCACCACUGGAUGCCUGCGGACUGCGGAAGGGGCAGCCAGCACCGGUCAGAAGACAGAGGCUUGCGCCCACGUCAAGGGACUCGCAGCCGAAAGCUUUCUAGUGAUGUGGGAUUUGUGAAGACUGCACGAAGUCUGCCAAGCUGCCCAGGUUUAAAAAAAAAAAAAAAAAAAAGCUGGUUUAAAAUCUUCUCUGAGACCGGAGAGCAUGAUGGCCACAUCGCCACCACGGUGCCCGUUAGGUAUGAAUUCUUCUGCUUUCCUUUCCUUUCUUUUCCAUGUCCUCUGACCCUGGAACGGCCAAAACCCAGGGUUGGCAACAUGAGGGAGGGGAAGCAUUAGGUGGGGUGGAGAGCGGUCGCUGUCUUCCUCCUCCUCCCCAAGAGCAGGCUUCUGGCUGCAACAGGCCAGAGUUGGGGGUCAGGGAUUGGAGACUAACCUCAAAUUGACUGUGUGUUGUGUGGCCUGAAGAGAAUAAGCGGACAUUUUAUUAUCUAAGGACGCCCUGAAACUAACUGGUGUGACUUUUUACCUGGAGCUGGGAGACAAAGGGUGCCCCAGAGUGGCUGUAAGGGACCCAAGGGAGCAAAAAAGGGCCUCUCAGCCCUUGUAUUGUGCAGCACCCCGUGCUGUGACCUUCGCUACGCAUCCCACCAAAGCCUACAGAAGGCACGCUUCACUGCACACAGGUGCUAAUUCAAGUAACACGCUACUGGGUGUCAUGGUCUAUCAACAUCUCACCUUCUAACUGUCACAGCUCCCCACUCCUUCCCGAAAAUCCAGGCCACACAAUCCCAGAUUCCUAUCCUUGAAUAUUUAUUGCGUACAAUCCUUUCAGGUACAGAUAGAUCACAAAAACCAGCCGAGCUGUUUUAAGUAGAAAAGUAUUUAGUGCAGGAAUUCAGUGGUGGAAACUGCAGACAGGGCUGGAGGGCCGGGCCGUAGGUGGGGACGCCAGCGACGACGACUCCUAGAAUAGCACUGGCUCCUGGAGCUGCCAUGUCUGCUCUAAUCAAGAUGCUGGGGGAGGGAGGAGGAAUCAGCGAUUGACUCCAGGACCAUCCCCUCCCAGCUUGGAUACAGGGACCAGGGUGGCUGCCGCUAAUCUGCUGGCUCCAGAGCCAUUU